GUGUGUGUUGUUUUGGGGGUUUUUUACAUCUAAGUUAUGUAAGAUAUGUUGCAUUUGUUUUCUCUAUUAUAUAAAUGAAGAAAUUGGGUACUU
Ipomoea nil (Japanese morning glory) is the source of this 93-nucleotide long non-coding RNA. RefSeq lists it as uncharacterized. The transcript is spliced from 3 exons. NCBI's taxonomy places the organism in Eukaryota, Viridiplantae, Streptophyta, Magnoliopsida, Solanales, Convolvulaceae. The record is from RefSeq and is a predicted model, not a curated record.